RNAcentral lists this ribosomal RNA (255 nucleotides) under uncultured bacterium. RNAcentral describes it as "partial 16S ribosomal RNA". It matches the Rfam family "Bacterial small subunit ribosomal RNA", at positions 524 to 776 of the family's 1533-position model. The record is from RNAcentral.
UACGGAGGUGCGAGCGUUGUCCGGAAUCACUGGGCGUAAAGGGCGCGUAGGCGGCUAUGUAAGUCAGUUGUGAAAUACCUCGGCUUAACCGAAGGAAGUGCGAUUGAUACUGCGUAGCUUGAAUCAGGUUGGAGGUAGGCGGAAUGUGACAUGUAGCGGUGAAAUGCUUAGAUAUGUCAUAGAACACCGAUUGCGAAGGCAGCUUACUGGGCUUGAUUGACGCUGAGGCACGAAAGCGUUGGGGGAGCAAACAGG